RNAcentral lists this transfer RNA (25 nucleotides) under Echinophora platyloba. RNAcentral describes it as "partial tRNA-Thr". Lineage: Eukaryota; Viridiplantae; Streptophyta; Magnoliopsida; Apiales; Apiaceae. The record is from RNAcentral.
UAUCGGUUCAAAUCCGAUAAGGGGC